GGUUGAUUAGUUAAAUAGAAGAUAAUAUAAGUUUGUCAAGCUUAAGUUGUCCUGAGAGGACAUCAUCCG
This 69-nucleotide transfer RNA is filed under the name Coenobita clypeatus. RNAcentral describes it as "tRNA-Asp". Lineage: Eukaryota; Metazoa; Arthropoda; Malacostraca; Decapoda; Coenobitidae. The record is from RNAcentral.